GCGCCCGUAGCUCAGAUGGAUAGAGUACAGCCCUCCGAAGGCUGGGGUCACUGGUUCGAAUCCAGUCGGGCGCACCA
Molecule: transfer RNA, 77 nt
Filed under: Halothiobacillus neapolitanus c2
Lineage: Bacteria; Pseudomonadati; Pseudomonadota; Gammaproteobacteria; Chromatiales; Halothiobacillaceae
Also listed under: 11 other names
Description: tRNA-Arg (CCG) (tRNA-Arg-CCG-1-1)
Rfam family: tRNA
About the family: Transfer RNA (tRNA) molecules are approximately 80 nucleotides in length.
Source: RNAcentral